This 492-nucleotide ribosomal RNA is filed under the name uncultured bacterium. RNAcentral's name for it is "partial 16S ribosomal RNA". It matches the Rfam family "Bacterial small subunit ribosomal RNA", at positions 29 to 507 of the family's 1533-position model. The record is from RNAcentral.
AGCGAACGCUGGCGGCAGGCUUAACACAUGCAAGUCGAACGGCAACACCCUACUUGUUUGGUCUUAUCGAUUGGGAGACGGGUAAGGAACACGUAAAUAACCUGACCUUCACUUUCGUAUGACUUCAGGAAACGAAGCCUAAUACAAUAUAGCAUCUCAUGCUCGGUUGUAAGUAUUGGAAAUUUUCACCUUGUGGGAAUGAACGCGCGGAUGACGGACUAGCUAGUUGGCGGGGUAAUGACCCACCAAGGCGCCGAUCCGUAGCUGGUCUGAGAGGAUGAUCAGCCACACUGGAACUGGGACACGGUCCAGGCUCCUACGGGAGGCAGCAGUGGGGAAUAUUGGACAAUGGGCGCAAGCCUGAUCCAGCCAUACCGCGUGGGUGAAGAAGGCCUUCGGGUUGUAAAGCCCUUUUGUUGGGAAAGAAAAGCAGCAGGUUAAUACCCCGCUGUUCUGACGGUACCCAAAGAAUAAGCACCGGCUAACUUCGUG